GACGAACGCUGGCGGCGUGGAUUAGGCAUGCAAGUCGAACGGUAGGAUACCUUCGGGUAUCUGAGAGUGGCGAACGGGUGAGUAACACGUAGGUGAUCUACCCUCAAGAUUGGGACAACCCAGGGAAACUUGGGCUAAUACCGGAUGAAAGCAGCAGUGAUGUUGUUUGAAAGGUGGCGUAAGCUGCCGUUUGGGGAUGAGCCUGCGCUCUAUUAGUUAGUUGGCGGGGUAAAGGCCCACCAAGGCGAUGAUAGAUAGGCGGCCUUAACGGGUGGUCGCCCACACUGGGAUUGAGAUACGGCCCAGACUCCUACGGGAGGCAGCAGUCGAGAAUAGUCUACAAUGGCCGAAAGGCUGAUAGUGCGACGCCGCGUGAACGAAGAAGCCCUUCGGGUGUAAAGUUCUUUUAUAUGUGAGCAGUGCUUUCUAUGUGAACAGCAUGGGGAGAGAGAUAUUAGCAUAUGAAUAAGCAACGGCUAACUCCGUGCC
Molecule: ribosomal RNA, 489 nt
Filed under: uncultured bacterium
Lineage: Bacteria
Description: bacterial SSU rRNA
Rfam family: Bacterial small subunit ribosomal RNA
Source: RNAcentral